Molecule: ribosomal RNA, 162 nt
Filed under: Fagus sylvatica subsp. sylvatica
Lineage: Eukaryota; Viridiplantae; Streptophyta; Magnoliopsida; Fagales; Fagaceae
Description: 5.8S ribosomal RNA
Rfam family: 5.8S ribosomal RNA
About the family: 5.8S ribosomal RNA (5.8S rRNA) is a component of the large subunit of the eukaryotic ribosome.
Source: RNAcentral
AAAACGACUCUCGGCAACGGAUAUCUCGGCUCUCGCAUCGAUGAAGAACGUAGCGAAAUGCGAUACUUGGUGUGAAUUGCAGAAUCCCGUGAAUCAUCGAGUCUUUGAACGCAAGUUGCGCCCGACGCCAUUCGACCGAGGGCACGUCUGCCUGGGUGUCAC